Nerophis ophidion (straightnose pipefish) is the source of this 765-nucleotide long non-coding RNA. RefSeq lists it as uncharacterized. The transcript has 3 exons. The record is from RefSeq and is a predicted model, not a curated record. Lineage: Eukaryota; Metazoa; Chordata; Actinopteri; Syngnathiformes; Syngnathidae.
UCUUCCUGGGUGCGGUAGAAAGUAUGAGAUUGUGUAAGCUGCUGCCUGCACUUCCUACUCAUAUAAUAGGUCAAAAUAAUUACACAAAGUUUGGAUUUUUUUGUCCCUCAAUCUCUGUCGCGGUAUUUGAUUAAAUCACGGAAAAUGAAACUUGCGUCGCUCCUUUGAGCCCAUGCGCCGAGUUUUGUGGAUAGAGGCUUGUCGUGUGACUCCAUCGCUGCAGUAGCGAAAAAGAAACAAAACGGCGCCAUGAAUACGACUGGAAAACGGACAAAAACUGGAUUUCUCUGCAAAAAUUGCAGGUUUUGACAGGUCGCGGGGGGUACUGGAGCAUAUGUCAGCUGCUUUGGGCGGAAGGCAGCGUACAACCUGGACAAGUCGCCACCUCAUCGCAGGGCCAAUGUUUCUGAAGACUCCAGUGUGAACGCGCACAGGCCCCAACGCGGCCCCAAUUUGGCCUCGAAGUAACUUGCAUGCGCAGUGCAAGAAAGAAAACAAAGGAAGCUGUGAUUUGACACUUUUACAAAUAUGCAACAUACUGUGAAACCACACCAAACAAGAAUGAAAAACACAUUUCGGGAGAACAUCCGCACCGUAACACAACAUAAACACAACAGAACAAAUACCUAGAACCCCUUGCAGCACUAACUCCUUCGGGACGCUACAAUAUACACCCCCCCAACCCCGCCCACCUCAACCUCCUCAUGCUCUCUCAGGGAGAGCGUGUCCCAAAUUCCAAGCUACUGUUUUGAGCCGUGUUAAAAA